Molecule: ribosomal RNA, 253 nt
Filed under: uncultured bacterium
Lineage: Bacteria
Description: partial 16S ribosomal RNA
Rfam family: Bacterial small subunit ribosomal RNA
Source: RNAcentral
UACGUAGGGUGCGAGCGUUAAUCGGAAUUACUGGGCGUAAAGCGUGCGCAGGCGGUUUGUUUAGUCUGAUGUGAAAGCCCCGGGCUCAACCUGGGAAUGGCAUUGGAAACUGGCAAGCUUGAGUAUGGCAGAGGGGGGUGGAAUUCCGCGUGUAGCAGUGAAAUGCGUAGAGAUGCGGAGGAACACCGAUGGCGAAGGCAGCAAACUGGGACAAUACUGACGCUCAGGCACGAAAGCGUGGGGAGCAAACAGG